This is a long non-coding RNA of Lynx canadensis (Canada lynx), 3877 nucleotides long. RefSeq lists it as uncharacterized. The transcript has 3 exons. NCBI's taxonomy places the organism in Eukaryota, Metazoa, Chordata, Mammalia, Carnivora, Felidae. The record is from RefSeq and is a predicted model, not a curated record.
AAUUAAGUGUUCAGCUUGGUUGGUGGCACUGGGCUGUACCCAUGCUUUGUGAGCAUGGCGGGGGGGGAGGGACUAGAAGCUACAUGGAGGGUAGACCCCCCCUCAUUGUUUUGGCUUAGUAUGCAAAAUUCUCUUUCCCCACCUGGCAACCACAGCCCCUGCCUGGGGUUCCUUCCCCGGCACCUUCUUCCUCCACUUCCUAACCAUCCAAUCCCAAGUACUGGUUACCCAGGCAGGUUGGGGGGAUGAUUUCCUUAUAGCAUCCAAACACAAAAGACCUCAGCAUCCUCUCACCCGCAUAUUUCCGCUCCUUUGGGUCCUUCAGGGUUCAGCUCACCUUAGGCAUUUCUGUCUUGUUGGAAAUUUCCUUGCUGAGAGGAACAGAAGGUCUGAGCAGGCAUCGGGGCCCCAGGCCUCAGUGGUCUUGUGAUGCAAAGUAUGGGGUGGGAGGAUUGGUUGGGGCAUCUGCUUGGCUUGUAUUUGUUUCUACAGCAUUCUCUGCAAAUGUGCCAUUGACUUUCCCACCACAGGGCCUUUGCACACGCUGUUCUCUCUCUCUAGGGCUUCGCACUUUCUGAAGUUUAACUCCCCCUAACCACCAUUUACUAUGUCUUACUGUGUGCAUGGUAUGGAGAAUGCAGAAAGAAAUAAGACUAGUCUUUUUAUGGUAAAAAAAAGACCACUUUAUGGCCUCUGGAGGUGGUGGUAAUAACAACGGCAGAGGCAACAAGAAAGGCAGGACCACUGAAGGAGGGGGUCACCCUGUGUCAGGCAUUUAUACAUACAGUGUCAUUCAAAACUUACAACAGUCCUGAACGCCUGUCAUUACUGUUAUUCCCAUUUUCUGAGGACACUGAAGUUCACAGAGGUGAAGUCCUUUGUUGAGCUGGCACUUGGCAGGGUUGGGACUCGGGGCCAGGCCUCUGGCUCUUCAAAGCCAUGUUUCUGACCAUAGCAGCUUCUCACCCUCUGCGCCAUGUGGUGAAAAGUCACCAUUCAAGUCCAACUCCACCCUGGCAGGUCUUCAAGUUGAUCUGCAUUGGAAGGAGUGAAAAACGAAGAGAAUGCUGGUCUAUCCCAUGGGGUGCAGGCCGUAGCUGGAGGUGCCAGCCCAAGACUGGGCAAAGGGGGGGCUGGGCACGGAUGCUGCACACCCUGGCCAGCCGGCCCCCGCCAGCCCUGCAGAACCCUUCCCACUCAGCGUAUUCACAGGGGACAUUUUCCCAAGGUGUGAAAUACAGGACUGCCUGUUCAGGGGGACCAGAGGCUUUGGGAAGGCAUUCCGAGGAUGAGCCUCCCUGACUCGGUGCUCUUGCAUUGCAUAGUUUGGACAGAGGGAAGGCUUAUACUUGAUGUUGAGCCCAUAACAGACCGAUAAGUCAUGCUUGGGCUCCCAAAGUCCUGGUUGGGCUCUGCUGUCUAGGAAACCAAAGCUGAUCAUUCAUGAAUAAUGUGGGCGUGACAUUGUGUAACAGGGCUGGUUGAUGGGCUGGGGGGGGUGACUCAUUUCUGGAGGCCUUGAAUCAGACCACUGUUAUUUCCUUUGGCUUCCAGUGGACCUAACCCAGACUCCCCUAAACACCUACCUGCUUCAGUCACUGAAUCAGAGAUGUGGGCUCUGGGAGGCUGUGGAGAGCUGUGGCCUUAAUGCGGGCCAAGGCCAGUUAGAGAAAGAUGCUCUCUAGGAGGUGACGUUACAGGCUUCACAGAGGGGCUGGUGGGACAACCCAGGAAGAGGGGGCUUGAUCCAGGUGAGGGUAUAGAUAUUAAGACCCCACAGGGCAGAAGGGAGUGCAGGGUUUUGGUUGGAGCCAAGAGAGCUCAGAGGGAAAAGAGACAAAAUGUGAUCCUUGAGAAAGAUUAGACUCUCUUUUCUCUCCUCCUCUACCCUCCUCUCAUGAGCCGGAGGGAGGGGAAGCAGAACUAAGAAGAGUCUCCGGAUAAAGGCAGCCUUUGGAGAGGACAGGGCUUCAUGCCUGCAUUGCAGCUGUCUUGAAAAUGUCCCCGAGUGAGACCUGAGCAGGCGGAGCCCGGAGCUGGUGAACUGAAUGCCUGUGUGGGGCCGUCAGGCCACCUGCAAGCAGGGGCUCCCACAGGAGCAAAGCAGGGUGACCCUCGUCCUGGGGUAGCUCCCUGAGGGCAGGGUGGAGUCUUGUCUUCUCAGUGCCUUCCUCCCUCCCUCCCUCUCUCCCUCCCUGCACACCAUCAGUGCAUCACGAGCUUUGGACCCAAUAAGCAAAAGCUCAUCAAGAAGAGGCCCAGAAGGGGGCAAUGGAGGAAGAUACUGGAAGGGUGACUCUGCAGCAGUCACCAGGCUGAAGAUGCCCUUGGAGCCAAGUGCAGAGGCCAAGAGGGACAGUUGACAAACUGUGCAAGUCCAAGCGGAAGGUGCCAGGCCACACACAGUCAGUGUCCCGUUAUGGUCAGGAAUGGUGCCCGGCUUUCAGGACACUGCUCACCCAACCGCCACCUUCCAUGGGCCUUUGUGGGAUUCUAGGACUAUCAGGGACUGCCUGGGAAGGAAAACUCGUUCCGCCACUGCCUCCAAGAAGGGACCACCUGGGCUCACAGUCACUGCUCACCGAACAUUCCUAUAGUUCUUCCGGGUUAUGCAUUUUUGUGAUCACUUAACUAUCUUUUCGGAUAACCAAUCAAAUCUAUAAAGACAUGUUACCAGCAAGGACUUGUCCCAAAAUCUGACAUUUGCUCCAGACCUCUUCCUCCUGCCUCGUCCCUCAUACUGACCCAUUAGUAACGCCCCCCAAAGCACUGACCAACCCAGGACAGGUGGUUUGCCCAGUUAUCAUGGGUGCCUCAUGGACAGUCCAGCCAGCUUUCCCUCAGCAGGGAGCUUCAUUUUGCCAACAGAGCUGGACUGGGAAGAGCCUGGAUCAUGGGUUUGGGCUGUGUGUCCACCGGCUACCAUCUUGGGAGGGCCGGUGGCAGACGCCAGGAGCUGGCCGGCAUCAGGGUACAAUCUGGUAGCCACCGAAAAGACCCUCAUCCUCGGAGGGUCUGUGAGCCCACAGACACCUGCUUGCUUUGGCUCGCCUUGGCUGGGUGCAUUUCCGGCAGAGAAGAGUGGGAAAUGGACCGGUGGUUGAGAGCUGAUAGAGGGAGGAAAGGGUCUUUGGUGCUGGAAUGAGAUAUUUGUGAGCCCCUGUCUACAAACAGACAAAUGCUGGCCUUGUGAACAACAUUGCUGGAGAACACGACUCAAGUGUCACCAUUGCCUGAAGCAUUCCAGUGGGAGAUGACGGUGGAAUGGGCCUGCCAGUGCUGCUCUGCACGUAAAAGGGAAGAUUAAAAGGAGCAAAUGGCCAGGAAGGCAAAGUGGACCAUGUAAUGAGGCAGAAGAUGUGAGGGGUCAGGAUGUGAGAGGGAAAGCCAUUGAUGGGGAUUGCUGAGGACGGGGCACUCCCGAGGAUGAGAGCUAUGGUAGCGGUUCUUGGACCCUUUCCAUGUCUGUGCUCUUGGCCUACUGCCUUCUAUAUGGAUUCGUGAGACCAAGAAGCAAAAGGAAGGAAGAAGGGCUUCUCAGCAGAAAUGCCCCCAAAACAAAGACUUUCUGCCACCAGCAGAGCUGCAGCUGGGGCUGGGGGACACUUGCCACUCCUCCCUGCCUCAUAAUCACAACUUUCUCACUCAAAGACUGUCCAUCUGUCCAUCCAUUCCGCCAAGGCCCAGAGCCCCAUGCUGAUUUCCUUUGGAAGAGCCCCAGCUCCCGGAGCGGCCUCGGCAACAGCAGGGCCCACAGACGGCUCCAAGCCCAAGCUUCCCAUCACAGGCAAUGGUCGGCCUGGUCCGUGGAAGUUAAAAUAACACACUGGCUGUUUAUGAGCAAGAGCCCUCAAUAAAGUCAUCGGUUGGUUCUCUA